CGGAUCAGCACGCCGCGGUGAAUACGUUCCCGGGCCUUGUACACACCGCCCGUCACACCAUGGAAGUCUGCAAUGCCCGAAGCCGGUGGCCUAACCACUUAUGUGGAGGGAGCCGUCUAAGGCAGGGCAGAUGACUGGGGUGAAGUCGUAACAAGGUACC
This 160-nucleotide ribosomal RNA is filed under the name uncultured bacterium. Its description in RNAcentral is "partial 16S ribosomal RNA". It matches the Rfam family "Bacterial small subunit ribosomal RNA", at positions 1345 to 1500 of the family's 1533-position model. The record is from RNAcentral.